GUGCAGCAGGCGAGAAUUUUUCUCAAUGGGGGCAACCCUGAAGGAGCGACGCCGCGUGGAGGAUGAAGGCUUUCGGGUUGUAAACUCCUGUCAUUUGAGAACAAGUGUUAGCAAGUAACUACUGCUAGCUUGAUAGUAUCAGAAGAGGAAGGGACGGCUAACUCUGUGCCAGCAGCCGCGGUAAUACAGAGGUCCCAAGCGUUGUUCGGAUUCAUUGGGCGUAAAGGGUGCGUAGGUGGCGCCGUCAGUGGGGUGUGAAAUCUCGGGGCUUAACUCCGAAACUGCAUUCCAUACUGCGGUGCUUGAGGACUGGAGAGGAGACUGGAAUUUACGGUGUAGCAGUGAAAUGCGUAGAGAUCGUAAGGAAGACCAGUGGCGAAGGCGGGUCUCUGGACAGUUCCUGACACUGAGGCACGAAGGCCAGGGGAGCGAACGGGAUUAGAUACCCCUGUAGU
RNAcentral lists this ribosomal RNA (455 nucleotides) under uncultured organism. Its description in RNAcentral is "bacterial SSU rRNA". It matches the Rfam family "Bacterial small subunit ribosomal RNA", at positions 346 to 794 of the family's 1533-position model. The record is from RNAcentral.